RNAcentral lists this ribosomal RNA (253 nucleotides) under uncultured bacterium. RNAcentral's name for it is "partial 16S ribosomal RNA". It matches the Rfam family "Bacterial small subunit ribosomal RNA", at positions 524 to 776 of the family's 1533-position model. The record is from RNAcentral.
UACGGGGGGAGCAAGCGUUGUUCGGAUUUACUGGGCGUAAAGGGCGCGUAGGCGGCUUUUCAAGUCGGGCGUGAAAUCUCCGGGCUUAACGCGGAAGGGUCGUUCGAUACUGUUGAGCUAGAGUGUGGAAGAGGCAACUAGAAUUCCGUGUGUAGCGGUGAAAUGCGUAGAUAUACGGAGGAAUACCUGAGGCGAAGGCGGGUUGCUGGGCCAACACUGACGCUGAGGCGCGAAAGCGUGGGGAGCAAACAGG